Molecule: ribosomal RNA, 253 nt
Filed under: uncultured prokaryote
Description: partial 16S ribosomal RNA
Rfam family: Bacterial small subunit ribosomal RNA
Source: RNAcentral
ACGGAGGGGGCUAGCGUUGUUCGGAAUUACUGGGCGUAAAGGGUGCGUAGGCGGUUCGUUAAGUCUGUCGUGAAAUCCCCGGGCUCAACCUGGGAAUGGCGAUGGAUACUGGCGAGCUAGAGUGUGUCAGAGGAUGGUGGAAUUCCCGGUGUAGCGGUGAAAUGCGUAGAGAUCGGGAGGAACAUCAGUGGCGAAGGCGGGUCUCUGGGCAGUAACUGACGCUGAGGAGCGAAAGCGUGGGGAGCGAACAGGA